UACCCUGAACGGUGGAUCACUUGGCUCGUGGGUCGAUGAAGAACGCAGCUAAUUGCGCGUCAACUUGUGAACUGCCAGGACACAUGAACAUCGACAUUUCGAACGCACAUUGCGGUCCACGGAUACAAUUCCCGGACCACGCCUGGCUGAGGGUCG
This 156-nucleotide ribosomal RNA is filed under the name Venturia canescens. RNAcentral's name for it is "5.8S ribosomal RNA". It matches the Rfam family "5.8S ribosomal RNA". Rfam says of the family: 5.8S ribosomal RNA (5.8S rRNA) is a component of the large subunit of the eukaryotic ribosome. It is transcribed by RNA polymerase I as part of the 45S precursor that also contains 18S and 28S rRNA. RNAcentral also lists the same sequence under 1 other name. Lineage: Eukaryota; Metazoa; Arthropoda; Insecta; Hymenoptera; Ichneumonidae. The record is from RNAcentral.